This is a long non-coding RNA of Paramacrobiotus metropolitanus, 856 nucleotides long. RefSeq lists it as uncharacterized. Lineage: Eukaryota; Metazoa; Tardigrada; Eutardigrada; Parachela; Macrobiotidae. The transcript has 3 exons. The record is from RefSeq and is a predicted model, not a curated record.
UGGCAAAAUCGCCCUGGUAACUCACCGCUGAAAUACUGCGCUUCCAGUGUGUAUGGAAAUACUAACUCACCCUUUCCACCUGUGCUUUCUGUCCAUUGCACUGUUUUGUUUUAAGCUUUGUGAUAUCAAACUUGUCAAUAUUUUGUAACAAAGAUUGAUAACUAAGUUCUGAAGUACGUGUACAUGUGAAUGUUGAUAAACUUUAAUCCUUUACUGAACGUUUUUAUUGCUUUUUAUUAGCUGUCAUACUAAACACUUGAGCCUUGCCGUAUUAAAUAUCCUGCGAAUUGCAGUCCGAACCGAUUAAAUAAAACCAUUUUUUUGCUUUGCAUAAUUGUAUUUUCUACCUUUGAUCCAUCCAUGAGCCUGUACAGUGAGACUGUGGUAUUUCGAGCUUCAUUCUUUACGUUGCUAUCCUGUAUUUGUUAUCAACCCGCUCAUGCAAUAAAGUGCUACCACUGUGUUGGUGCUAGUUGUUCCGAUCCCUUUGAUAAUACUGCAGUGACUCCACUGGAUUGUACUGGACCAAACAAUCAUUGUGCAAAGGUCACCACGACCAUUAACGGAAACAAACAGAUACAAAGGAGCUGCUCACCUAAUAACGGUCAGGCUGAUGACAGAUGCAACACCGUGAAAACUUCUGUCGCGCAGAUAGAUUAUUGUGGAUGCAAGACAGAGCUGUGCAAUUACAGCACCAUUUUAUCUAAUUCAAAAGUAACAACGCUGAUGUCAGUGGCUGUAGCAAUUUUGUUUUAUGUACAGUGCUAACGAAAAAUUUAUUUCCAAUUGUUUGCUGUUACAUAAAUCGCCGUUUGUACCUGAGCCAUUUCGUCAAUAAACAAUUGCAGAAAUACAA